Long non-coding RNA from Arabidopsis lyrata subsp. lyrata, 887 nucleotides. RefSeq lists it as uncharacterized. The transcript is spliced from 2 exons. Lineage: Eukaryota; Viridiplantae; Streptophyta; Magnoliopsida; Brassicales; Brassicaceae. The record is from RefSeq and is a predicted model, not a curated record.
UUGCAAACUUUUUGACUGUUAUAUAUUUGGUCUUUUUAAAUUGUUUUUGUUUUGAUUAUGGAAACGUCGGAAAUAUUUAGAGUUAAUGUGUUCACAUGAGACGCACGUGAUUUUUUUCUUCUCUUAUUUUCUUCUAUUCAUAAUUCGUCCAUGUUAAAUUUAAGGAAGUGAUAUUUUUAGUACUUUGACAAAAAAAAAAGUGAUAUUUUUUAGUACUUUGUGUGGAGUAUAAUUCCUCUUCUUUGCUCUAACUUCUCUCUAGAAAGCAGAUUUAGGUUUGGCCGCCGCGUUUCGGCUCCGGUGGCUUACAAAGCACCGAAGUCGACCCAGAUCCGUCCCUUUCUUUUAGUGCAUAAAAUCGUGGAGGUGAUUCGUCUCUUUAGGUGUGUGAAGUGUUUUCCGGUGUGGAAGAGUUUGAUGGCACGUGGAGAGCAGGAUCUGUGUGUGAUGGUGUUGAUUUGGGCGGAUCUAGAAGAUGAUGAUGUGCUACGGGACUUCCAGUGGCAUGAGAGCUUGGUCUUCAAAGCAAUUCCUAGAUCUACUUCUCCUCUUCGUUGUUACUGUGCUGAAGCUCCGUUUCCCCUUGCCUCUUCGGCUGCUUGUGAGCUUUGUAGCUCCGCGUCUACCGCUCUUUCAGCACUUUCUGGUGAUUGCGAGUGUGGGCCUUCAUGUUCCUUCUUUUGGUGGUAGUGUUUUAAGGUUUGUUUAAGGUUUUGUAUGUAAUCUCAUGGCUCCGGAUGAGUAGUUCAUGCCGGCUUAGUUUCCCUUAAAACUCUAGGGCUUUAGCUUCCCGUAUCACUCUCGGGCUUUGGUUUCCCAUAUCACUUUUGGGAUUUGCUUCCGGUUUAUCCGGCUUUGUAUUCGACGUUGUAACACUUUUCGUAUAA